This 476-nucleotide ribosomal RNA is filed under the name uncultured Alphaproteobacteria bacterium. Its description in RNAcentral is "bacterial SSU rRNA". It matches the Rfam family "Bacterial small subunit ribosomal RNA", at positions 9 to 521 of the family's 1533-position model. Lineage: Bacteria; Pseudomonadati; Pseudomonadota; Alphaproteobacteria. The record is from RNAcentral.
GAGUUUGAUCUUGGCUCAGAACGAACGCUGGCGGCAUGCCUAACACAUGCAAGUCGAACGGGAUCCAGGCUUCGGCCUGGUGAGAGUGGCGGACGGGUGAGUAACGCGUGGGAACCUGCCCAAUGGUCUGGGAUAACCGCGGGAAACUGCGGCUAAUACCGGAUAAGCCCGAGAGGGGAAAGAUUUAUCGCCGAUGGAGGGGCCCGCGUCCGAUUAGGUAGUUGGUGAGGUAACGGCUCACCAAGCCUUCGAUCGGUAGCUGGUCUGAGAGGAUGAUCAGCCACACUGGGACUGAGAUACGGCCCAGACUCCUACGGGAGGCAGCAGUGGGGAAUAUUGGACAAUGGGGGCAACCCUGAUCCAGCAAUGCCGCGUGAGUGAUGAAGGCCUUAGGGUUGUAAAGCUCUUUUGCCGGGGACGAUGAUGACGGUACCCGGAGAAUAAGCCCCGGCUAACUUCGUGCCAGCCGCCGCGGU